AAAUGUGAGGGUGAUCUGGCAGUGACAUCUGUCAUCCUAUUGAUGGCAGGGUUGAUAGGGUUGAUCUGGCUGGCUAGGCAGGUGUCCCCUUCCUCCCUCACCGCCCUUGUGCAUUCCUUCCAAAGCUGCACACUCAGUCUAAGAGGACAACCAUCCUCGAUAGAGGAGGACCGUUCUUCAGUCAAGGGUAUAUGAGUAGCUACACUCUUCUUCUGAAACCUUCCCACAAGUUCUCAAGGUCCAAAUAUGGCAGCCAGGAAAGAGGCAAGUGGAGGAAGCUGGGAGUAUCCUGGGAGCAGUGGGUGGGGUUUCCUG
Colobus angolensis palliatus is the source of this 315-nucleotide unclassified non-coding RNA. Its record names the gene 7SK. It matches the Rfam family "7SK RNA". Rfam says of the family: 7SK was discovered as an abundant small nuclear RNA in the mid-70s but a possible function has only recently been suggested. Two independent studies have found that 7SK RNA binds the CDK9/cyclin T complex (known as elongation factor P-TEFb). P-TEFb activates transcription by phosphorylating the C-terminal domain of RNA polymerase II. The record is from Ensembl. Lineage: Eukaryota; Metazoa; Chordata; Mammalia; Primates; Cercopithecidae.